Long non-coding RNA from Oreochromis niloticus (Nile tilapia), 1549 nucleotides. RefSeq lists it as uncharacterized. The transcript has 2 exons. The record is from RefSeq and is a predicted model, not a curated record. NCBI's taxonomy places the organism in Eukaryota, Metazoa, Chordata, Actinopteri, Cichliformes, Cichlidae.
UGCCUAAUAAUUCUGCACUCCCUGUAUGGUUAGAUAGUAAUGGUUGAAGCAUAUGUUAUUGAUUUGUUUAUAGCACGUUUUGGAAAUAUGUAUAUGUUUGUUAUGUGCUCUAAUGUAAUUGUAUGUUAAUGUUUUCACUUUGAUUAGUUAACCCCCAUACUCAGGCUAGUCCGGAUGCUCACCCGAGUAGGUAGAGUAUAAAAGGAAGCCAUUUUGUUUUUAGUGUUUGUGCUGUUAAUACGUGCCUUCUUUAAUAAAGUGCCAGUCUCGCGUCAUAUUAUUGGAAGGAACCCGUGACCGCUGGUCAAAAACUGACAGGGGGGUCAAGGUUGUGAUCUCAGUGAAGAGGUAGAUACGCAGAGACAGCAUGAGUAUUAGAGGGCGUGGCCUGAAGAAACGAGACAGGGUAUAUUACUGUGUUUAAACAUAUGUUAAAAGGUUAAAAAACUUGCUAAUUCAUGGUGUUUUUAUGUUAAUUCAGGUAAAAUGGCUAAAAUAUGUGUUCAGACUCUUAUUGUGAAAGGGUACGCUGUAGCGUGACUCCUGUGAUCAGCCACACCCAAUCGGGUUGUUCCUUCUUUUUGAUGCUGGAGAGGGAGAAAUGCAGAUAGUCGUUGCGGAGCUGCUGUCUAAACGAGUGAAAAAAAUAUUAAAAAACAAGUCAGAAGCCUACAUAAAGCCAUUUUUGUACUCUGGAGAAUAUAUUUUUUUUUUUCCGACCUGUCUUUGCCUUGGUGACGUUGUGAACGUAACCGAACGGGACUUGGCCAUUAAGGUUUGGAUCGGGAAAUGCCGAGCUAGAAUCGGAGUUUGAUCCGCUGAGCGAGAAACAAGAUGGCGAGCCACCCAGGGACCCAUUGAACUGUACCGAGCAGGAAAAAGGAAAACCGCCCCCUGCUGGACGUUGAACUCUUUCACUAAAAAACUGGUAGGAUUAAUCCAUACACCUCUGCAAAAGAACAGUGGACUUUCAAAGCACUGGAUAAUCGUUCAGAGCAAUUCCAGGAUUUAUAGUUAAAGGACACAGAGACAAUUUUCUUUUGUUUAUUUGUUUGUUUAAGGGAUUUGUUCAGCCUUUUGCUGAAUUGUUUUCAGUUUUUACAUGUUUUUGUAAUUUAUUUUGGUCAACCUUACAUUUUAAUGCUGUAAUGGUGUUAAUGGAAAUGUAAAUAAUUUUGUUGGGUUAAAACAAAAUAAGAACUGGUUGAAAUGUACAGGUGAACUUAGACCAAGAUUAAAUUAAAUCUUGGGCUUAAAAGAACUAAACUUGAUUUAAAAUAACACAGUGUUAAUUCAAAUAGAUCAAAGGAUAGACUUGAACUUAGAACUUGGAAUAAAUAAAACAAUAACCUAGGUUGAAAAUAACAUCCUUUUAAAGCCCAAUAAGAGGUUUUGAAAUAAAUAGGAUAAAUUAACAGAAAUUACUGAACUAAAAGGGAAAGAAAAUACCUCGUUUUCUUUAAAUGUGAAUUUGAAUGUUUUAUAUAAUGUUUGUCAACUGUCUAUUAUCUGUUUUUUUGCAAAAUAACAAGCCGGCAAUUUAAACUUA